CUAUCUCAGGUUAAAAUUCCUCGACAUUGCAAUGGUUGAAGACCUAUAUAUGCAGUUUUCUACAUCAUUCAAACAUUUUUUUUAAAUAAACCAUAACACACAGCAGGAUUAUUCAACAACGAGACCGUUUACGCCCCUUAUGGUCACCUUUCGGGCGAAGGGUCUCUGUUCAAUUACAUAUUUCAGGCGAUAAAACACUGAAAUCCACGAUCUUCGCUUUCCAAAAUUCUGGGGCAGAUUUGUGUGAGUUACUUCUCUCCGAAACUGCGGCGAUGGGGAGUCAGGGCUGUCCGGCGUGCGGAGCUGGCGGCGGGGAUGCGCGCACACGUGGGCUGUCGCAUGCAGCGCAAUGGAAACAGCGGCGCAGCAGCAGCGUUCCGGCGCACGGAGGUCCACUUUAACGGAGCCGCUCCCGAGGCACAAAGUGUAAAGUACCUGUGACUCGUUCUAACACCUGGCACCUGGCCGAGCAAUACGAGCCCCUGAGCCACGCCCUUCUUGUCAUGCAGCUGUGCCCCAGCCCCUUCAGCAUACCUUGGGACAGUGACCAGUGCAUGCAGCGGAGCCAACCGUCUCAACCUCACACCACUGACCCCAGCGCAGACCGCAGCGCAGACCCCAGCGCAGACCCCAGGGCAGACCCCA
Long non-coding RNA from Megalops cyprinoides (Indo-Pacific tarpon), 645 nucleotides. RefSeq lists it as uncharacterized. The transcript is spliced from 3 exons. Lineage: Eukaryota; Metazoa; Chordata; Actinopteri; Elopiformes; Megalopidae. The record is from RefSeq and is a predicted model, not a curated record.